AAGUCGAACGAAGCACUUUAUUUGAUUUCCUUCGGGACUGAUUAUUUUGUGACUGAGUGGCGGACGGGUGAGUAACGCGUGGGUGACCUGCCCCAUACCGGGGGAUAACACCUGGAAACAGGUGCUAAUACCGCAUAAGACCACGGGAUCACAUGGUUCUGGGGUAAAAGAUUUAUCGGUUUGGGGUGGGCUCGCGUCCGAUUAGGUAGUUGGUGAGGUAACGGCCCACCAAGCCGACGAUCGGUAGCCGACCUGAGAGGGUGAUCGGCCACAUUGGGACUGAGACACGGCCCAAACUCC
This 300-nucleotide ribosomal RNA is filed under the name uncultured Eubacteriales bacterium. RNAcentral's name for it is "uncultured Clostridiales bacterium partial 16S ribosomal RNA". It matches the Rfam family "Bacterial small subunit ribosomal RNA", at positions 59 to 339 of the family's 1533-position model. The record is from RNAcentral. Lineage: Bacteria; Bacillati; Bacillota; Clostridia; Eubacteriales.